RNAcentral lists this ribosomal RNA (468 nucleotides) under uncultured bacterium. Its description in RNAcentral is "partial 16S ribosomal RNA". It matches the Rfam family "Bacterial small subunit ribosomal RNA", at positions 28 to 507 of the family's 1533-position model. The record is from RNAcentral.
GACGAACGCUGGCGGCGUGCUUAACACAUGCAAGUCGAACGGAAAGGCCCUGCUUUUGUGGGGUGCUCGAGUGUCGAACGGGUGAGUAACACGUGAGUAACCUGCCCUUGACUUUGGGAUAACUUCAGGAAACUGGGGCUAAUACCGGAUAGGAGCUCCUGCUGCAUGGUGGGGGUUGGAUAGUUUCGGCGGUUGGGGAUGGACUCGCGGCUUAUCAGCUUGUUGGUGGGGUAGUGGCUUACCAAGGCUUUGACGGGUAGCCGGCCUGAGAGGGUGACCGGCCACAUUGGGACUGAGAUACGGCACAGACUCCUACGGGAGGCAGCAGUGGGGAAUAUUGCAAAAUGGGCGGAAGCCUGAUGCAGCAACGCCGCGUGCGGGAUGACGGCCUUCGGGUUGUAAACCGCUUUCGCCUGUGACGAAGCGUGAGUGACGGUAAUGGGUAAAGAAGCACCGGCUAACUACGUG